AUACGGAGGGUGCAAGCGUUAAUCGGAAUUACUGGGCGUAAAGCGCGCGUAGGCGGUUUGUUAAGCGAGAUGUGAAAGCCCCGGGCUCAACCUGGGAACUGCAUUUCGAACUGGCAGGCUAGAGUGUAGAAGAGGGGUGUGGAAUUUCCGGUGUAGCGGUGAAAUGCGUAGAGAUCGGAAGGAACAUCAGUGGCGAAGGCGACACCCUGGUCUAACACUGACGCUGAGGUGCGAAAGCGUGGGUAGCAAACAGGAUUAGAAACCCCAGUAGUCC
Molecule: ribosomal RNA, 274 nt
Filed under: uncultured bacterium
Lineage: Bacteria
Description: partial 16S ribosomal RNA
Rfam family: Bacterial small subunit ribosomal RNA
Source: RNAcentral